RNAcentral lists this ribosomal RNA (332 nucleotides) under uncultured bacterium. RNAcentral describes it as "bacterial SSU rRNA". It matches the Rfam family "Bacterial small subunit ribosomal RNA", at positions 568 to 898 of the family's 1533-position model. The record is from RNAcentral.
CGCGUAGGCGGUGUUUUAAGUGAGAUGUGCAAUCCCCGGGCUUAACCGUGGGAACUGCAUCUCAGACUGGAACGCUGGAGUACUGGAGAGGGUGGUAGAAUUCCACGUGUAGCGGUGAAAUGCGUAGAGAUGUGGAGGAAUACCAGUGGCGAAGGCGGCCACCUGGACAGUAACUGACGCUGAGGCGCGAAAGUGUGGGUAGCAAACAGGAUUAGAUACCCUGGUAGUCCACGCUGUAAACGAUGAACACUUGGUGUGGCGGAGUUGACCCCUGCCGUGCCGUAGCUAACGCGAUAAGUGUUCCGCCUGGGGAGUACGGUCGCAAGGCUGAA